This 497-nucleotide ribosomal RNA is filed under the name uncultured bacterium. RNAcentral describes it as "partial 16S ribosomal RNA". It matches the Rfam family "Bacterial small subunit ribosomal RNA", at positions 28 to 507 of the family's 1533-position model. The record is from RNAcentral.
GAUGAACGCUGGCGGCGUGCCUAAUACAUGCAAGUCGAGCGAACGGACGAGAAGCUUGCUUCUCUGCUGUUAGCGGCGGACGGGUGAGUAACACGUGGAUAACCUACCUAUAAGACUGGGAUAACUUCGGGAAACCGGAGCUUAUACCGGAUAAUAUUUUGAACGGCAUGGUUCAAAAGUGAAAGACGGUCUUGCUGUCACUUAUAGAUGGAUCCGCGCUGCAUUAGCUAGUUGGUAAGGUAACGGCUUACCAAGGCAACGAUGCAUAGCCGACCUGAGAGGGUGAUCAGCCACACUGGAACUGAGACACGGUCCAGACUCCUACGGGAGGCAGCAGUAGGGAAUCUUCCGCAAUGGGCGAAAGCCUGACGGAGCAACGCCGCGUGAGUGAUGAAGGUCUUCGGAUCGUAAAGCUCUGUUAUUAGGGAAGAACAUAUGUGUAAGUAACUGUGCACAUCUUGACGGUACCUAAUCAGAAAGCCACGGCUAACUACGUG